CUUGACCGAGCCCAGCCACAACGGCUCCGCGCGGUCCUGCCCGUAGGUCGCCAGCAGCUCCUGGGCCUC
Molecule: antisense RNA, 69 nt
Filed under: Saccharothrix variisporea
Lineage: Bacteria; Bacillati; Actinomycetota; Actinomycetes; Pseudonocardiales; Pseudonocardiaceae
Description: Dactylosporangium variesporum ASpks TB sRNA
Rfam family: ASpks TB sRNA
Source: Rfam by way of RNAcentral